Molecule: ribosomal RNA, 565 nt
Filed under: Brettanomyces cf. custersianus EVN 1230
Lineage: Eukaryota; Fungi; Ascomycota; Pichiomycetes; Pichiales; Pichiaceae
Description: eukaryotic LSU rRNA
Rfam family: Eukaryotic large subunit ribosomal RNA
Source: RNAcentral
GCGGAGGAAAAGAAACCAACAGGGAUUGCCUCAGUAAUGGCGAACGAAGCGGCAACAGCCCAAAUUUGAAAUCUGGCGUAAGCCCGAGUUGUAAUUUGGAGGUAGACUAUUUGGAUGACUGUGUCGACUAAGUGCCUUGGAAUAGGCCGCCGUAGAGGGUGAGAGCCCCGUGAGUUGACUAGCAGUUAUUCAGUUUGUCUUCCGACGAGUCGAGUUGUUUGGGAUUGCAGCUCUAAGUGGGUGGUAUAUUCCAUCUAAGGCUAAAUAAUAGCGAGAGACCGAUAGCAAACAAGUACAGUGAUGGAAAGAUGAAAAGAACUUUGAAAAGAGAGUGAAAUAGUACGUGAUAAUUGUUGAAAGGGAAGGGUAUCUGAUCCGACGUGGUAUUUAGAUGUCGCCUGCCCUUGUGGCGGGUGCUCCAUUUUUUUACUGGGCCAGCGUGAGUUAGAAUUGGGGAUGAAAAAGCGGGAACGAAUGUAGCCUUCCUCCCUUUGGGAGAGGGGUGUUAUAACAUUCCUGUUUAGUUCCUUUCUGACUGAGGUCCGCGGUUUUAUUACCUAGGACG